Molecule: ribosomal RNA, 443 nt
Filed under: uncultured bacterium
Lineage: Bacteria
Description: partial 16S ribosomal RNA
Rfam family: Bacterial small subunit ribosomal RNA
Source: RNAcentral
CCUACGGGAGGCAGCAGUGGGGAAUAUUGGACAAUGGGGGGAACCCUGAUCCAGCGACGUCGCGUGAGUGAAGAAGUAUCUCGGUGUGUAAAGCUCUUUUAGCAGGGAAGAAAGAAAUGACGGUACCUGACUAAGACGCCUCCGGUAACUACGUGCCAGCAGCCGCGGUAAUACGGAGGGGGCAAGCGUUAUCCGGAUUCACUGGGUGUAAAGGGAGCGUAGAUGGCGAGGCAAGUCUGAAGUGAAAGGCGGGGGCCCAACCCCUGGACUGCUGUGGAAACUGGAUGGCUGGAGUGCAGGAGAGGUAAGUGGAAUUCCUGGUGUAGCGGUGAAAUGCGUAGAUAUUAGGAGGAACACCAGUGGCGAAGGCAGCUUACUGGACUGUAACUGACGUUGAGGCUCGAAAGCGUGGGGAGCAAACAGGAUUAGAUACCCGAGUAGUC